AUGAAGUGGCGCCAAGCUUCUGGCAUUCUCUGUGACAUGAGAGUGCCACAAAAGCUAAAAGGCAAGUUCUACAGGACGGUGGUUCGACCCGCAAUGUUGUAUGGCGCGGAGUGUUGGCCGACUAAAAGGCGACAUGUUCAACAGUUAGGUGUGGCGGAGAUGCGUAUGUUGAGAUGGAUGUGUGGCCACACGAGGAAGGAUCGAGUCCGGAAUGAUGAUAUACGAGAUAGAGUUGAGGUAGCACCAAUUGAGGAGAAGCUUGUCCAACAUUGUUUGAGAUGGUUUGGGCAUAUUCAGCGCAGGCCUCCAGAAGCUCCACUGCAUAGCGGACGGCUAAAGCGUGCGGAGAAUGUCAAGAGAGGGCGGGGUCGACCGAUUUUGACAUGGGAGGAGUCCGUUAAGAGAGACCUGAAGGAUUGGAGUAUCGACAAAGAGCUAGCUAUGGACAGGGGUGCGUGGAAGCUUGCUAUCCAUGUGCCAGAGCCAUGA
This 489-nucleotide ribosomal RNA is filed under the name Triticum aestivum (bread wheat). Its description in RNAcentral is "partial small subunit ribosomal RNA". Lineage: Eukaryota; Viridiplantae; Streptophyta; Magnoliopsida; Poales; Poaceae. The record is from RNAcentral.